RNAcentral lists this long non-coding RNA (328 nucleotides) under Dermacentor andersoni. RNAcentral's name for it is "uncharacterized LOC126522628". Lineage: Eukaryota; Metazoa; Arthropoda; Arachnida; Ixodida; Ixodidae. The record is from RNAcentral.
UUGGCCGUGGAAGGAACUGAUGUCGUACUGCACAGUCAUUUCUGAACGGUAACUUGGUAUAAAGGAUUCUGCGAUGAGCAGGGUGGUCAAGCUUCUUGGUGCAACACUGCUUCUUGCAGCCCUGGUCGGCAAUGUUCAGGCGCAGUUCAUUGGAGGAUUCUUUCCUUGGUGGUGGUCGAGAUGGUGCAACGGAAUAUGGUGCCCCUUUGGAACUCGCUGUGUACUUGCACUGUGCCUCCAAUUCCCCUGCGUGCCUGUUAGCUACUGUGCUCCAUUUUUCUAGGGAGCAAGAGGACGGAGUGGAUAACCCGUGGCAACCAACAACGCA